GUUCUUUGGUCAAAAGAGUUGCACAUGUCAAAUGGAGGGCAGUAGAGAUGUAAUGAACAGGCAGUAUCUGAGUGACUGGUGUUUUCCAUGCGGUGAAGGCCAAUAGAAUCUACAACAAGAGAAAAAGCAACCGCCCCCAGCAACGCCUCCACUGACGACAGAUACGCCGAGGAAUAGCGGUUUGUUCCCGACAAACCGGUUCACCGACAACCGGUUCGCCAACAACCCUAGACGUCGCCGACAAUCCUGGACGUUUCGCCGACAACCCUUGGCUUUUCGCCGAUACGUUUUAUUGCAGCAUAGAUUGCUACAAACAUGUUAUAUAAUUUUAACUAAACUCAAAUCCUUCUUGCAUUUGAAGCGGCAAAACAAGAAGACAUAAAUUAUUAUUUUUCACGUUUUAAUAAAUGUUUCACGCGUAACUAAGCAUUAACUUACAAAUCUAACAAGACAAAUCUAACAAGCUUUUAUUAGAUACUACAAAAACAAUAAUCUGUAUCUCACAAGCUUUUAUUAGAUACUAGUUGUUUGGGGUAAGCGUUAGAGCUUAAGUCGAACAUUGCGUGUUUGAGAUUAUAUUUUUGUCGGCUGGGGUUAUAUUCAUCCCGGCUUGUUGUCACUUGAGUUUGAGAAUACUUUCUUGGCUGUUUCGCGUGCCUAAGGGGAUUCGCAAAGCAAAAACUUACAAUAAGUAAUCUGUAUCUCACAAGCUUUUAUUAGAUACUAGUUGUUUGGGGGUAAACGUUAGAGCUUAACCCUAUUCAGACCGGGGGUGGGGGGGGCUUUUGAGGCCCCCAACACCUUUGAGCUGUAAUAAUUUUUUAACUAAUAGGGCUAGAGCAUUGAAAUUUGAUGACUUUUCCUAAAAUU
This is a long non-coding RNA of Nematostella vectensis (starlet sea anemone), 870 nucleotides long. RefSeq lists it as uncharacterized. The transcript has 2 exons. The record is from RefSeq and is a predicted model, not a curated record. Lineage: Eukaryota; Metazoa; Cnidaria; Anthozoa; Actiniaria; Edwardsiidae.